UUGAACCUGAUUUAACAGGUUUUAUUUUAUUUAUUUUCCGAUUUCGGAACUUAUAAAAACCUGUUAUCGGACUAAUAAAUAUACAAACAUAUAAUUUACAACGUGGAACAUUUAUUUUUAUUUAAAAAUUUGUUAUUUUUUUGAUUUAUUUCUGAGGUUAGUUACAUAGCGAAGUUUGUCGCAUAAAGGUAGUUGACAUUCAAUUUUGACAGCCAAAACGUCAACAAAAAUUAACACAGUUACGCGCUCUUAUUCAAUGUCUUAGUGAUGAAGUAAAAAAAAUCCUACAAUUACGAAGAAGUGCGAAUGAAUCUUUGGGAGGCGUCGAAGAAAUAAUGACGUUAAUUGGAAAGUGACAAUGAGACCGAAAUCUUCGGGAAUGUCGAAAAGUCACGUUUAGGCAAUCAGAACGUGUCCGGUGGACAAGUGCCGUUUUAACAGCUCCUAACCAGGUUAAAAACCCCCAAGUGGCUAUUGAAAAGAUGAUGGAACACCUGAACCAUCUACAACGAACGCUGUUUAAACAGUUUAAAGAGUAAACAAUACUCCACUUGAAAUUUAAAUUACUUUUUUAUUUUCUUUAUUUCUUAGUUUUAAGAAAAAGUGUUGAAAAAGAAAGUUGAUUUUCUAAAUAAUUAUUGCAUUACAAAGUUGUAUUAACAAUUUCCAAUUAACAUAGAGCGUUUCGUUAUUAAUUUCACGCAAGAUUUGAUCCAAUUUAAUAUAAUUGAAAAUAUAAAUGGGAAUAAAAGUUAGUUUUUUGCAA
Molecule: non-coding RNA, 766 nt
Organism: Onthophagus taurus
Lineage: Eukaryota; Metazoa; Arthropoda; Insecta; Coleoptera; Scarabaeidae
Source: RefSeq, a predicted model, not a curated record